CUACCUGAGUACUAUGAACGAACUAAGAUUUAAAACUCAAAGGACUUGGCGGUGUCUUAGACCGUUUAGGGGAACCUGUCUCGUAAUCGAUAGUCCACGUUACACCUGACCUUUUUUUGUUAUCAGUUUGUAUACCGUUGUCGUCAGGUAACUUUUUAGAAAAGGGAAGUUAGCAAGUAGAAAGAAAUUAUUUANUACGUCAAAUCAAGGUGCAGCUAAUAGAAAGGGGAGGAUGGGUUACAGUUAUUUAUUUAUAAUUUUACGGAUGCAAUUAUAGAAAUAUUUUGUUUAAGGAGGACUUAAAAGUAAAUUGAAAUAUAAGAGUAAUUUGAAUUAGGCUCUGACACGUGU
This 351-nucleotide ribosomal RNA is filed under the name Hastula solida. Its description in RNAcentral is "partial 12S ribosomal RNA". Lineage: Eukaryota; Metazoa; Mollusca; Gastropoda; Neogastropoda; Terebridae. The record is from RNAcentral.